Molecule: ribosomal RNA, 440 nt
Filed under: uncultured bacterium
Lineage: Bacteria
Description: partial 16S ribosomal RNA
Rfam family: Bacterial small subunit ribosomal RNA
Source: RNAcentral
CCUACGAGAGGCAGCAGUAGGGAAUAUUGCUCAAUGGGGGAAACCCUGAAGCAGCAACGCCGCGUGGAGGAUGAAGGUUUUAGGAUUGUAAACUCCUUUUGAUAGGGAAGAUAAGGACGGUAUCUCACGAGUAAUCACCGGCUAACUCCGUGCCAGCAGCCGCGGUAAUACGGAGGGUGCAAGCGUUACUCGGAAUGACUGGGCGUAAAGAGUGCGCAGGCGGGCUUGUAAGUCAGAUGUGAAAUCCUGCAGCUUAACUACAGAACUGCAUUUGAAACUAUGAGUCUAGAGUGUGGGAGAGGUAGGUGGAAUUCUUGGUGUAGGGGUAAAAUCCGUAGAUAUCAAGAGGAAUACUCAUUGCGAAGGCGACCUACUGGAACAUUACUGACGCUCAUGCACGAAAGCGUGGGUAGCAAACAGGAUUAGAUACCCCUGUAGUC